GACGAACGCUGGCGGCGUGCUUAACACAUGCAAGUCGAACGGAAAGGCCCUGCUUUUGUGGGGUGCUCGAGUGGCGAACGGGUGAGUAACACGUGAGUAACCUGCCCUUGACUUUGGGAUAACUUCAAGAAACUGGGGCUAAUACCGGAUAGGAGCUCCUGCUGCAUGGUGGGGGUUGGAAAGUUUCGGCGGUUGGGGAUGGACUCGCGGCUUAUCAGCUUGUUGGUGGGGUAGUGGCUUACCAAGGCUUUGACGGGUAGCCGGCCUGAGAGGGUGACCGGCCACAUUGGGACUGAGAUACGGCCCAGACUCCUACGGGAGGCAGCAGUGGGGAAUAUUGCACAAUGGGCGGAAGCCUGAUGCAGCAACGCCGCGUGCGGGAUGACGGCCUUCGGGUUGUAAACCGCUUUCGCCUGUGACGAAGCGUGAGUGACGGUAAUGGGUAAAGAAGCACCGGCUAACUACGUGCCAGCAGCCGCGGUGAUACGUAGGGUGCGAGCGUUGUCCGGAUUUAUUGGGCGUAAAGGGCUCGUAGGUGGUUGAUCGCGUCGGAAGUGUAAUCUUGGGGCUUAACCCUGAGCGUGCUUUCGAUACGGGUUGACUUGAGGAAGGUAGGGAAGAAUGGAAUUCCUGGUGGAGCGGUGGAAUGCGCAGAUAUCAGGAGGAACACCAGUGGCGAAGGCGGUUCUCUGGGCCUUUCCUGACGCUGAGGAGCGAAAGCGUGGGGAGCGAACAGGCUUAGAUACCCUGGUAGUCCACGCUGUAAACGGUGGGUACUAGGUGUGGGGUCCAUUCCACGGGUUCCGUGCCGUAGCUAACGCUUUAAGUACCCCGCCUGGGGAGUACGGCCGCAAGGCUAAAACUCAAAGGAAUUGACGGGGCCCCGCACAAGCGGCGGAGCAUGCGGAUUAAUUCGAUGCAACGCGUAGAACCUUACCUGGGUUUGACAUGGAUCGGGAGUGCUCAGAGAUGGGUGUGCCUCUUUUGGGGUCGGUUCACAGGUGGUGCAUGGCUGUCGUCAGCUCGUGUCGUGAGAUGUUGGGUUAAGUCCCGCAACGAGCGCAACCCUUGUUCACUGUUGCCAGCACGUUAUGGUGGGGACUCAGUGGAGACCGCCGGGGUCAACUCGGAGGAAGGUGGGGAUGACGUCAAGUCAUCAUGCCCCUUAUGUCCAGGGCUUCACGCAUGCUACAAUGGCUGGUACAGAGAGUGGCGAGCCUGUGAGGGUGAGCGAAUCUCGGAAAGCCGGUCUCAGUUCGGAUUGGGGUCUGCAACUCGACCUCAUGAAGUCGGAGUCGCUAGUAAUCGCAGAUCAGCAACGCUGCGGUGAAUACGUUCCCGGGGCU
This 1346-nucleotide ribosomal RNA is filed under the name uncultured bacterium. Its description in RNAcentral is "partial 16S ribosomal RNA". It matches the Rfam family "Bacterial small subunit ribosomal RNA", at positions 28 to 1381 of the family's 1533-position model. The record is from RNAcentral.